CCUACGGGCGGCUGCAGUGGGGAAUAUUGCACAAUGGGCGCAAGCCUGAUGCAGCCAUGCCGCGUGUGUGAAGAAGGCCUUCGGGUUGUAAAGCACUUUCAGCGGGGAGGAAGGCGGUGAGGUUAAUAACCUCAUCGAUUGACGUUACCCGCAGAAGAAGCACCGGCUAACUCCGUGCCAGCAGCCGCGGUAAUACGGAGGGUGCAAGCGUUAAUCGGAAUUACUGGGCGUAAAGCGCACGCAGGCGGUCUGUCAAGUCGGAUGUGAAAUCCCCGGGCUCAACCUGGGAACUGCAUUCGAAACUGGCAGGCUAGAGGCUUGUAGAGGGGGGUAGAAUUCCAGGUGUAGCGGUGAAAUGCGUAGAGAUCUGGAGGAAUACCGGUGGCGAAGGCGGCCCCCUGGACAAAGACUGACGCUCAGGUGCGAAAGCGUGGGGAGCAAACAGGAUUAGAUACCAUGGUAGUC
RNAcentral lists this ribosomal RNA (465 nucleotides) under uncultured Klebsiella sp. Its description in RNAcentral is "bacterial SSU rRNA". It matches the Rfam family "Bacterial small subunit ribosomal RNA", at positions 338 to 795 of the family's 1533-position model. Lineage: Bacteria; Pseudomonadati; Pseudomonadota; Gammaproteobacteria; Enterobacterales; Enterobacteriaceae. The record is from RNAcentral.